Molecule: long non-coding RNA, 739 nt
Filed under: Phascolarctos cinereus (koala)
Lineage: Eukaryota; Metazoa; Chordata; Mammalia; Diprotodontia; Phascolarctidae
Description: lncRNA (ENSPCIG00000033958.1)
Source: RNAcentral
UGAGGGAUUGUUGAGGUGACGGGAAGAAAAGGAGGGAGGAGUAGGGGUGCCGCUGGGGCUACGGGUGAAUUGGUGCUGAAGUGCCACGGCUGAACGGGCACGGACCGGGCCAAGUGUCCCCGGCCCGGGCGGCUCUCGGAGCAGCGGCAAGCCCGCCUCUGGCACGGGCUCCGACUGCACCUCUGAAACGGACGCGGGAGUCGGCGGCCCAAGACCCAGGCUGGGGAACUAUUGGGAUUGGAAAGAGUGAACCACAGAUGUGUUUACCUGUUGCCUGUAACUAUAAUUGAUACAUGGUUUUCAGCAUCCAUUCUUUCAGCUACUGGGACAAAAUCAGAAGAUUAGAAACUGAUGAAGAUGAGAGGCUUGUGUGACUUAUGCAAGUGCUUCAUAUUUAAUUGGUGUGGAUGUAGCUGGGCAUCUGCAGUGACCACUUAGAUACAGAUUAUAAUAAUAUAUGACAUUCAUAUAUUGCUUUAAGAUUUCUAAAGUGCUUUAUAUCUAUUAUUUCAUUUAAAUCUCAAGACAAUACUAUAAGGUAAAUAUUUUUUUUUUUAUUUUUUGGGCUAGACAGUGGGGUUAAGUGACUUGCCCAGAGUCACACAGCUAGUAAGUGUUAUUUGUCUGAGGUCGCAUUUGAACUCAGGUCCUCCUGAAACCAGGGGGCAUACUCUAUACACUCAGCCACCUAGCUGCCCUAUAAGGUAAAUAAACUGCAACUCUGAACUACUAAGUGUCA